AUUGAACGCUAGCGGGAUGCCUUACACAUGCAAGUCGAACGGCAGCGCGGACUUCGGUCUGGCGGCGAGUGGCGAACGGGUGAGUAAUGUAUCGGAACGUGCCCAGUAGCGGGGGAUAACUACUCGAAAGAGUAGCUAAUACCGCAUACGCCCUACGGGGGAAAGGGGGGGAUCGCAAGACCUCUCACUAUUGGGGCGGCCGAUAUCGGAUUAGCUAGUUGGUGAGGUAAAGGCUCACCAAGGCGACGAUCCGUAGCUGGUUUGAGAGGACGACCAGCCACACUGGGACUGAGACACGGCCCAGACUCCUACGGGAGGCAGCAGUGGGGAAUUUUGGACAAUGGGGGAAACCCUGAUCCAGCCAUUCCGCGUGUGCGAUGAAGGCCUUCGGGUUGUAAAGCACUUUUGGCAGGAAAGAAAUCGCAUCAAUUAAUACUUGGUGUGGAUGACGGUACCUGCAGAAUAAGCACCGGCUAACUACGUGCCAGCAGCCGCAGUAA
Molecule: ribosomal RNA, 500 nt
Filed under: uncultured bacterium
Lineage: Bacteria
Description: partial 16S ribosomal RNA
Rfam family: Bacterial small subunit ribosomal RNA
Source: RNAcentral